This 3036-nucleotide small RNA is filed under the name Rattus norvegicus (Norway rat). RNAcentral's name for it is "uncharacterized LOC103693959". The record is from RNAcentral. Lineage: Eukaryota; Metazoa; Chordata; Mammalia; Rodentia; Muridae.
AAACAAACAAAAAAAAAAGUCACCACAGACUCAUGGGUUUAAACACUUGGCUCACAGAAGUUGGUGCUCUUUGGGGACCUCCCAGAACCUUUGUGAAUAUUGCCUCGUUGGUGGAAAUGAAUCACUGUAGGGCAGGCCUUUGAGGGACAAGGGAUGUAGCUCAACCUGGCUGAUGCUGUUCCCUGCCUGCGAUUUGGUGACCAGACGCCUUACCAUGCAGCCAACGCUGAACAGAACCCGUCCACACCAUGAGUGUGCCUUCCCUGCCACUGGUGCACUAAAACCACAACCAAAAGAGCUCCAUCUUGCCUUCAUUUGCUGCAGUGAAGAAAGUCAUCCAUACUGUGACGGAACUUAAUACAGCUCCAAAUCAGAUGAGCUCUCUUUCUCUGCAUCUAUGUGCCACCCCCACGCUGAGAAGUGACGUGUGUAACUGGACCAGUCCCGAUGUUUGCAAUCACCGGAACAGCCUGCGUGGACACUCCUAUCUUUUAUCAUUUGCAAUUCAAAGCACCACAGCACAGGAAGAAAUGUAGCACUUUCCUGAAUCCUAGGCUUCAUUCUAAUGAACUUAAGUCAAAUGGUGAGAAUCCUAGCUAAAUCAGGCAAAUCAUGGGGAGGUGGGUCUUGUACCCCGAAAGUGAGUGGAUAAAAGACAGCAAGAGCUUCUCCUUUAUGUAAUUAAAAGCACCGCAGCAUAGAAAAAACCGCUCAGGGUCACACAGCUGUUAGGAGGCAGCACCAGACCUGGAACUUGGGUCCACCUGUCAAUCAUCAUCCACGGUCUCCCAGCCCACAGCCGCAGCGCUCCUGGUGAGACCGGACCGGGAAGUAUGUUCUCAUGCCCUGGGUAGAGAGAGGUGAGUCUGGACUUGGAUUGACUCUGGAGCUGUUCGCUGUCUCCUCUCCAGUUCUCUGACCCAGGUUAGAAGUUACAUGACUUCUCUGCAUUUUCCUUCCCUGACUGGAUGUAGGGAUGGUGGGCGCUCACCUCGUGGGAGUUUGGGAGGAUGAGAUGACUGCAUGUUACAGUCACAGUCACACUGAGCACACAGUAGGCACUCGGUAAGUUGCUGGUCUGGUCACCAGAUGCUGCUGCCUUUGGGGCGAGGCACUCUGGUUGUGCGGUUAAGGCCUCCUCGGCUUGUGUAGCUGUAGCACCCUCACCCGCUCUCACCCCAUAAAUCGCUCCGGGGCCUUUCUGCCGUCGAAAGACUGCUUUUUCAUUGGCGCUCUGUUUCCUGGCUUUCCGUCAUCCCUGGUCCCUCCUCCCACAGCUGGAGCCUAUAUUUUUCUGUGGACAUUCUUUAUGAACUUACCAACUUUUCAUACCGCUUUUUUUUUUAUUUUUUUUUAAAAGCAGGCUGUGGUGAGGAACACAACACAUUCGAAUUUAGCUUCAUCAGCUCACUUAAUCUGUUACUGUUUCUGUUUUCUCUCUUCAAGGCAGGGAUCUAGAAGCCCUAAAUGGAACGCUUCAAUUCUUCGAAUCACACUUGUGAUGAGCCCUGUGGUGUGUCUAUUCCCCACAGCCAAGGAAUGAAGGCCGACUGUUUAACUUAAAAACUGCAUUCUAAAAGGCUGCCACUUCUUACUGCACGAAGAAAUACAAGAAUAAUCUGACCAGGAGGUCACUGGGGAAUUGCCAAAUGACAAAUAAAUCAGCAUUGUUUAUUAAAGUGACAAGUUGCCCCAGAGAUGGGGAACCCCCCAAAGCUAUUUUUACUGAUAUAAAUAAUAGUAACAAUGAACUCGAGUAACAAGGGAACUAAUUCUUUAAAGGAAAUGGGUGGACCAGGUGACAUGUAGACACACCUUUAAUUUCAAAGUGAUGAUCUUUGGCAUCUUUAUGUUGUACCUGCAUCCUUUUCUCAAGACAGACAUACAGACCUAUGAGUAGGAAGGGUAUCUCACAGCUCUCUGACUCCAGAAUGGGAAAUUCUAGUUUUGGGGCCUUCAGGCUUCUGGUUGAGAAGCUGACCCUAUUUGGACCCCUACCACGGACUGCCACACAGUACCACCUAGUGACAUCCUGGCAAGGUAACCAGAUCCUUUAGAUCUGGCCAAAGGAGAGAAACAACACACACACACACACACACACACACACACACACACACACACACACAUAUACACACACACACACACACACACACACACACACACACACACACUCACAUGGUUGCAGGAGAUGAAGGCACAAUGAGGAGGCUACAACAAGAAGCCAAUCAAGAGAAGCGAUAUCCUACAGCUUCUCCUUCAUGUCAGGACCCUCAUGAUACUGCCCAUACAAGGCCUGACCCUCGGAGGCUCUGAGGACUUUUUACUUUCACCUAGGGACAUGCUCAUCCAGGAAAGCCACCAACUGCCCCAGUGUGGGGCAAUGGGGGCUUGUGAGAUUCAAGACUUCAGUUUUAAAACUGGACCAGCCCCAAGCAAUCCAGGGCCAGUUGGUGGCUCUUCAUUUAACACUCUGUGUAAAAGUCAAAGACCCUUAUACAGUGUGAUCUCCCCAGCACUUCUUGCGCCACCCCCCCUGCCCCCUUCCUUGCAUGUGGGUAGAUGCAAUGGACAGGAAGGCUCCCAGGCUUUCUAUCACACACCACUCAACUUUCUGGUCAUUUCCAGUGGGGAGAAACUAGAAGUUGCCAGCACCAUGCAUGGGGACCUCAGGGUAAAAUGGGUGAGGGUUUUGGAUUUGGACUUGGCUUCUUCCAUCAGUACCUCUGUUUCUAGCACACCAGCCAUAUCACAGCUAUGAUGUGCUGUCUUCUAUUUGAGGUGACGGAGGAAUGUGAUAAGACUUGCAGUUUCUAGAUUAGGGCUUUGUUUCAACCCACCUUACUGUAAUAAGUAAAAGUAACAUUUAUAUCAGAAACCAGUAAGAGGAGAUUUGUUCAGCGCUUUGCCUGGAGACAGUUUCUUUAAAUGCCAAUGUUUGGGACUCCUUGGUAGUAAUCUGCAGUGAACUAAGAAUGGCUAGAGAUGCCUGGCUAGGAGUGAUCCUGAAGGUAGAAGGAGGGAUGGAAGGAGGGAAGA